Molecule: ribosomal RNA, 381 nt
Filed under: uncultured eukaryote
Lineage: Eukaryota
Description: partial 18S ribosomal RNA
Rfam family: Eukaryotic small subunit ribosomal RNA
Source: RNAcentral
CAAUAGCGUAUAUUAAAGUUGUUGCAGUUAAAAAGCUCGUAGUUGGAUUUCUGGUUGAAGCGACCGGUCGGGCGUUGAUUCAUCUGCACUGGAGUCGGUUUUGGCCAUCCUCUAGGAAAGUGCGUCUGGUAUUAAGUUAUCGGGCGUAUGAUCCUGGUCUUUUACUGUGAAAAAAUUAGAGUGUUUAAAGCAGGCCUUCGCCUUGAAUACAUUAGCAUGGAAUAAUAAGAUAGGACUUUGGUCUAUUUUGUUGGUUUGCAGACCGAAGUAAUGAUUAAUAGGGAUAGUUGGGGGUAUUUAUAUUCCGAUGUCAGAGGUGAAAUUCUUAGAUUUUCGGAAGAUAAACUUAUGCGAAAGCAUUUACCAAGGAUGUUUNCAUUA